This is a long non-coding RNA of Ruditapes philippinarum (Manila clam), 427 nucleotides long. RefSeq lists it as uncharacterized. The record is from RefSeq and is a predicted model, not a curated record. NCBI's taxonomy places the organism in Eukaryota, Metazoa, Mollusca, Bivalvia, Venerida, Veneridae. The transcript is spliced from 3 exons.
UUGGGUUUGACUGACCAAGGGUCUGAAGGAAAGUGGAAAUGGAUCGACACAAGUGCUCCAGCGACAUUUAUCAAAUGGGCUCGCGGUCAACCGGAAGGUCGCACAAGACAGAACUGCGUGGUGUACAGCAGUUCUGCCUCAUAUCAUUGGCAUGACACAGAAUGUACUAAGCGAUAUCCAUUUAUUUGCAAAACAGUAAAAUAGACAACCGGAAGAUAACAACAUAUAUGUGUUCAUUGAAGUAUCUAUCGUUAACUCUGUAAUGUUACUAAAAACACUUUCAAACAAUAUUUGUUGCACAUAUUUUGAUGUAAUGAAUGGCGACCAGCAAAGAAUUUGCCAGAUCUUAUACUUCUUUAUCAUUAUUAUAGAUAUGGAUUAAUUUCUCUGUCACAUUCUUUUUUUAUUUUGUUGCGAAUUCCAAAAC